AUGGAGGAGACCGAGGCUAAGAAGCCCACCCCCGCAUCCCCCCUCUUCUCCUUCUCCAACCCCAGCGCCUCCUUCGGCUUCGGGUUCGGCGCCGCGCCCGGCCCUCCCCCUCCGCCUCCGCCGCCAGCUGUCGAGGUCCUCCUCUCCGAGGAAUCACCCGUCGCGGCCGGCAACUUGGAGCCUGUGGUGGUUGACGACUCCCUAUCGAUCUACAAGGGGAGAGUUAACACCUCUGAUGUUUUGGGGGUAAAAAACUCUGAUUUGGUUCCAGGAAAAUAUGAAGGGGGGUUGAAACUGUGGGAAGGAUCAUUGGACUUGGUGAAAACCCUAAAUUCAGACAUCAAAGAUGAUCGAUUGCUUAUGGAAGGCAAACACGUACUAGAGCUAGGAUGUGGACAUGGCCUCCCUGGCAUCUUUGCAGGUCUGAAGGGUGCUGCUCUAGUUCACUUCCAAGAUUUCAAUGCUGAGGUCCUUAGGUGCCUUACCAUCCCAAAUGUAAAAGCUAAUCUGUUCAAGGAAUCAUCUGAAACAUCUAGGAGUGUUGGUUUUUAUGCUGGUGAUUGGAGUGAAAUCGACAAGUUACUUCUUCGCGGAGAUGCUGUCCAGGAUAAAACAACCAAUCUUCACACAGAAAAUGAAGGGCAUAGAGGCUACAAUAUCAUCCUGAUGGCUGAGACUGUGUAUGCAUUGGAUUCACUUCCUAGUCUCUACAGGCUCAUCAAGAAGUGCUUACACUACCCUAGUGGUGUAGUUUAUAUGGCAGGGAAAAAGCAUUACUUUGGUGUAGGUGGCGGCACAAGGCAAUUUCUACGCUUGGUUACAGAAGAUGGUGCCAUGCAGUCGGACCUGCUUGCUGAAGUUACUGACGGAUCAUCCAAUGUUAGGGAGGUUUGGAAAUUCUCAUUCAAGUAG
This 912-nucleotide ribosomal RNA is filed under the name Triticum aestivum (bread wheat). RNAcentral's name for it is "partial small subunit ribosomal RNA". Lineage: Eukaryota; Viridiplantae; Streptophyta; Magnoliopsida; Poales; Poaceae. The record is from RNAcentral.